RNAcentral lists this small RNA (29 nucleotides) under Bombyx mori (domestic silkworm). RNAcentral describes it as "ovarian small RNA-22677". Lineage: Eukaryota; Metazoa; Arthropoda; Insecta; Lepidoptera; Bombycidae. The record is from RNAcentral.
UAGGAUCCCGACGCCUCCUGGCAUCAUCC